RNAcentral lists this ribosomal RNA (374 nucleotides) under uncultured bacterium. RNAcentral's name for it is "bacterial SSU rRNA". It matches the Rfam family "Bacterial small subunit ribosomal RNA", at positions 417 to 784 of the family's 1533-position model. The record is from RNAcentral.
UUCGGGUCGUAAAACUCUGUUGUCCGGGAAGAACAAGUAGGGGAAAACUGCCGGUACCUUGACGGUACCUGACCGAAAAGCCACGGCUAACUACGUGCCCACAGCCCCGGUAAUACCUAAGUGGCAAGCGUUGUCCGGAAUUAUUGGGCGUAAAGCGCGGGCAAGCGGUCCUUUAAGUCUGAUGUGGAAGCCCCCUGCUCCACCGUGGAGGGGCAUUGGAAACUGGGGGACUUGGGUGGCUAAAAAGAAAGCGGAAUUCCCCGUGGAACGGUGAAAUGGCUAAAAAUGUGGAAGAACUCCCAUGGCCAAAGGCGCUUUCUGGUCUGUAACUGAACCUGAAGCGCCAAAGCCUGGGGAGCAAAAAAGAAUAAAUU